AUUGAACGCUGGCGGCAUGCCUUACACAUGCAAGUCGAACGGCAGCACGGGAGCAAUCCUGGUGGCGAGUGGCGAACGGGUGAGUAAUAUAUCGGAACGUGCCCAGUCGUGGGGAUAACGUAGCGAAAGCUACGCUAAUACCGCAUACGAUCUAUGGAUGAAAGCGGGGGAUCGCAAGACCUCGCGCGAUUGGAGCGGCCGAUAUCAGAUUAGGUAGUUGGUGAGGUAAAGGCUCACCAAGCCGACGAUCUGUAGCUGGUCUGAGAGGACGACCAGCACACUGGGACUGAGACACGGCCCAGACUCCUACGGGAGGCAGCAGUGGGGAAUUUUGGACAAUGGCGCAAGCCUGAUCCAGCAAUGCCGCGUGCAGGAUGAAGGCCUCGGUUGUAA
RNAcentral lists this ribosomal RNA (393 nucleotides) under uncultured bacterium. Its description in RNAcentral is "bacterial SSU rRNA". It matches the Rfam family "Bacterial small subunit ribosomal RNA", at positions 30 to 428 of the family's 1533-position model. The record is from RNAcentral.